GACGAACGCUGGCGGCGUGCUUAACACAUGCAAGUCGAACGGAAAGGCCCUGCUUUUGUGGGGUGCUCGAGUGGCGAACGGGUGAGUAACACGUGAGUAACCUGCCCUUGACUUUGGGAUAACUUCAGGAAACUGGGACUAAUACCGGAUAGGAGCUCCUGCUGCAUGGUGGGGGUUGGAAAGUUUCGGCGGUUGGGGAUGGACUCGCGGCUUAUCAGCUUGUUGGUGGGGUAGUGGCUUACCAAGGCUUUGACGGGUAGCCGGCCUGAGAGGGUGACCGGCCACAUUGGGACUGAGAUACGGCCCAGACUCCUACGGGAGGCAGCAGUGGGGAAUAUUGCACAAUGGGCGGAAGCCUGAUGCAGCAACGCCGCGUGCGGGAUGACGGCCUUCGGGUUGUAAACCGCUUGCGCCUGUGACGAAGCGUGAGUGACGGUAAUGGGUAAAGAAGCACCGGCUAACUACGUG
Molecule: ribosomal RNA, 468 nt
Filed under: uncultured bacterium
Lineage: Bacteria
Description: partial 16S ribosomal RNA
Rfam family: Bacterial small subunit ribosomal RNA
Source: RNAcentral